UGUGUGUGUGUGUGUGUGUGUGUUGGUUUUUGUGAUUUAUGAAGACAUUUCAUAUGAAUACAUGCCACACUAUGAGGACAUUUUGGAUUAUGAGGACAUGGCCAGUGUCCUCAUAAUACGGGCAAUGUAGAAGUGCUCCUACAGCUAGGGGGAGCUGAAUUCCAAAAUUUCUCCAAAUGACUUUAUAAUUCACAUAGACCUGAAUUUGUGUAUGACGUGUGUAUCGGAAGUGCGCCCCUGUAGCCCUGACUCGGUACUGCACCUCCUCAUUAAUUAUUAAUGCCUGUGUAUGAAAUCGCGGCUUCUGAUUGGCUGACCGGCAGAGGUCCUCAUAAUUUCGGGAUUUGUCAAACCAUGGCGUUAACGCACAUUUACAGCAAGGACGAAACAACGACUCGGCGACCAUCUGUGUUUCAAUCAUCGAAUUAAAGACACGUAAGGUAAGAGUAAUGAUAAAUACACUGCUACAUUUCAAAUCUAUAAACUGUUUUGGCCAUAAAGUUUGAAUGACUAUGAUUAGACAGUAAAAUCGAUUAGCAUUAGCGGCUAAUCAAGUUAGCUUUUGUGAAGCCUGGCAGCAUUUAACGUUAUCUUUUUUCCGUGAUGAAUCAACAACUUAUCUUUAUCAUCAAUAAGCAAUUAAAAUCAGCAACGUUAUCAUGUUUUACCUACAAGUCAGAAAAAGAUAGUAAUAAGUAUACAGAUUGUAGUGUGCUUAUUUUGGGUGAUAAAGUGAAUACUGCCCAAAUAAAUAACUCAUCAUAUGUUAUUGUCAGAUUGAGAUCACAUUAUUUUACACUAUAUAGAUCUAGGCAGUAUAAUUAUGUGCUGAUGAGGUUAAUGUUUUGAAGAGGUAAAUCCUGUUUCACUGGCUUGACAUACAGACAUAAAUAAUACAGAAUAAUCACUAUUGUUAAUAUUUAAACUCUAUAUAAUAAAUGAAAUCAUAAACUCAGUCGAUUAGCAUCAGCAAUGUCUACAAAGAAUAGAAAAAUGCUUUUACUGUAACUGUUAAAUGCUGUAACUUGACCAAAACAUAAUGGACAUAGCAGGGGAUGGUCGCAACAAGGUCCCAGAGAGCCAAAUUAAAGCCAAAAGAGGAAUCUGCAUAUUAUGUGAAGUGUAAUGAGCAUUUUACCUGAAGAGUUGUAUCUAUUUAAGCUCAUUUGAGGACACAGUUUAAUGUCAGAACAGUUUGUCAGUCUUGUAGUGAAGUCACUGUUUUAAUACUGUAUUGUGAAUCUACACAGGUGUCUUCUGAGAGAGAUGAACAGUCUGCUGGUUUAGUAAACUGUGCUGGAGAGGAUGAGGGACAACAGAAGAUGAUGACUGCCUUAGAAGGCCCAUCUUGAGUAAUUUACAAUACCACUAGUAGGAAGAACAACAAGCACAGUAGCAAGGAAGGGUGUGAACAACCUGGUAAAAGCCCACAAACCACACACGCAGUGAACAUUGUACUAUACAAUUAUGUCAAUCAAAAUCAAAGUGGAAGAAUUAAAGUCAGAUGACUCAUCUGUACACACACACGCAGGUAGAGUUGAUACCAUCGACUCUACCUGCGCGACUGGAAGACCGAAGAGUGUAAAGACCAUCGACUCUAACUGCGCGACUCCACCGAGCAAGGACACCGACAAGGCACUUGAGUAUCGCACUUCAGUAUUAACUCCCCAUAGAGUCAAAUGCUGUUACUUUCAUCGAUCCUGUUAAAACUCAUGAUGUAGUUAUCUAUCGUCCCUCAGGUCAGCUUGGACAUUUCUUCGAGGAGUUGGAUACGCUUCUGUUAUCCUUCCCUGAGGAUGAUACUCCUCUAGUGGUACUUGGAGACUUCAACAUCGACCUUAAAAAACCACAGGCUGCCGACUUCAACAACCUGACUGCGUCGUUUGACAUCAAGCGAGUUCCCACUUCAGAAACCCAAAAGUCUGAACAACCUCCUGGACAGCAACCAGUUUCCGCACGCAUUUCAGCAUGCCUGAGCAACAUUUUGCUCUGGAUGAAGGACCAUCACCUGCAGCAGAACCCUGCAAAAACAGAACUCCUUGUAAUUCCGGCCGACCCAAAGAUUCAUCACAACCUCUCCAUUCAACUGGGCUCAUCAACCAUCACAUCUUCCAGAACGGCCAUAAACCUGGGAGUGGUGAUCGAUGAUCAGCUAAACUUAACAGAUCAUGUUGUCAGCAUCCUCUACAAUAUUAGGAAAAUUAGACCUUUCCUAUCCGAGCAUGCUACGCAAGUCCUAGUCCAGGCUCUUGUUCUAUCCAGACUGGACUACUUUAAUGCGCUACUGGCUGAUCUUCCUGCUUGCACAACCAAACCUCUACAGAUGAUCCAGAAUACAGCAGCAAGAGUGGUCUUCAAUGAACUGAAGAGAGUACACGUCACUCCUCUCUUCACUAAGUUACAUUGGCUCUCUAUAGUCGCUCGCAUCAGAUUCAAGACUUUGCUCUUGCCCUACAAGACCACCACUGGUUCGGCACCCCCAUAUCUUCACUCGCUUAUACAGACUUAGAUACCCACCAGAUCCCUAUGCUGUGCAAAUGAACGACGUCUUGUGGUGCCAUCCCAAAAAGUGACUCAUGAAAAUUCUGCUAAAACGGAUAUGAAAGGAGAAAACAAAAACGGCCAUGGUCUUCAACAGAAAUUGCUGCAGGAGUGAAACCGAUAGCUUCGGUCUAUCUAAAACAGGGAUGGACAACUUCGGUCCUGCAGGGCCACUGUCCAACAAAGUUUAGCUCCAACCCUAAUCAAACAAAUCAAACACACCUAAACAAGCUCAUAGAUGUCUUCAAGAUCACUAGAAACCAUGAAAGUAAGCAACCAGUGAAUCAUUGUGUAAAAUGUGUUGAUUUGUCAGUGUUAUUGCCAUUGAAUCAAUAUCACUUUUGCACCCACAAUUAAUGUUGAAAUUUCAUCAAUGCACCAUUAUUGUGAUCAGUGUUUACUUUAUUUGACCUCUUGACUUAUUUCUCUUUUCCUCUUUAAGUGUUUAUAACCGUGUUUCAGUAAGAACAAUAAAGAGAUGUUUUAAAGUUAAGUUGGAGUUGGUUACUUUUUUGCGGUGGGUGUCAAGCUGUAAUAAAGAUGAGUAAUAAUACUAAAUAAUGUUGGAACUAAUCUUUCAUGACUGAUGUUAAUGUUCUGCUUCACAAAUGCAAAGAUACUGUGACAAUGAACAGAUUUACUGACACACUUAGACAUCAACACUCAAUAUACAAACCUCAACAAUGGUGACAAUCACCAAUCUAAAUCAGAUAAACAGAUCAACUGCAAUGCAUGCUGGGAGAUAUGAAUGAAUUUUGUAGUAUGUUGUUACCCAGCAUGCAUUGCAGCAGGAAGCUUCCUUUUGUUGACUGUCACCAUUGUUGAGUUUCAUACACUGACUCUUAUGACACUGUUUGACACAUAAGUAAUUAUAUGAACAUUGAAACAAGUUUAUUAGACCAUUUCUAACCAAUUUCAAACUUUCCAUGAGGAAAAACUUGUUUCUUAGCACCUAUAAGCACAAACUUCAACUAAGACAAACAUACUUGUUUGGUUUAACUGUUAGAAAAUGUAUUUUCACAUAGAUUAUUUUAUUCUAUUUUUUAUUUUAAUAUACUAUGUUAUUACUUUAAAAUGUUAUUAAACUGCAGCAGUCGAGAUGACGCGCAGUACCUGGAUGAGCGCUCUUACCAGUUAUAACAGUUGUUAUUGGAGAAUAAAUGAUCUCAGAAUGUCGCCUUAACUGUUGUCUGUUUAAUCAUUUGUCCUCCUAGAUCAUAUGUCCUUUUAAUACACAAUUUCUUCACCUUUGUGUUUCUGUGUGUGUUUAAUCUUUUGUCCUUAUACAAAGUAGAUCACGUAUGUCCUUUUAAUACACAAUUUCUUCACUUUUGUGUGUGUGUGUUAAAUCUUUUGUCCUUGUAGAUCACACAUGUCCUUUUAAUACACAAUUUCUUCACUUUUGUGUGUGUGUGUUAAAUCUUUUGUCCUUGUAGAUCACAUAUGUCCUUUUAAUACACAAUUUCUUCACUUUUGUGUUUCUGUGUGUGUUUAAUCUUUUGUCCUUGUAAAUCACGUAUGUCCUUUUAAUACACAAUGUCUUCACGUUAGUGUUUGUGUUGUGGUGUAAUUUCAAUUUGAAAGAAAUCUAAAUCAGUAGUAAUCAUACGAUUAUAAUCAUAAUUAACAUUUCUUUCUUGACAAGUCAAACAGUUUGGUAUUCAAGAACUUUCUAAGACAGCGGUUCCCAAUCCACAGUUCUAGAAUAAUUUUGGCACUGCACAUUUUCCAUAUGUCUCUAAUCAAACACACCUGAUUCACGUUGUCAGCUCAUUAAUAAAGGCUGUUUCUCAAUAUGCGUUCUUCGGUGAUCUUGAGUCGUUGUGUUCUCGCUCUACGUCAUCAUUAACUGUUAAAGUCUGGUUCCAAUACUCAAGAAUAGAGAACGCAUGGAAGUACCCGGAUGUGUUCUUAAUAUCAAGGAUUAUACAGACUUGCGCGUAGCGUACCUGCUUGAAGACCUAGAAGCCACUGAGGCAUAUCCACCUGAGUUUGUUCUUCUGAGGUUGCAAGACUGGUCUCCUGGUAUUUUUUUCGUUCUUGGAAUUGAGAAACGGCCCAAGACCUCAGAUGAGUGUCAGAUUAAAGUGACAUCUAAAAAUGUAAGGUGUUGGGAGUACAGGAGUAACAGAAUUGGGAAACACUGAACUAAGAACAGAAUGGAACACUAACACUUAUUUAAGUGUAAUGGAAUAAUGAUGGCUUUCCUGUAGCUCAGUGGUUAGAGCAUGGCGCUAGCAAUGCCAAGGUCAUAUGUUCCACCCCAGGGAUUGCACAUACGCAGAAACAAAAAUGUAUAGUAUGUAGCAAUGUAGAUCUCUUUGGAUAAAACUUUAGCCAAAUGCAUAAAAAUAAAUGUAAAAUGAUGGUGCAUGCAUAAGGGCUAGAAAAGUAACAAGUCACCUAAAUAUAAUACGCUCAUGACAAGGUAGCUGAUUUGAAUAAAUCAUAUAAAGAAUUAUUUGUUAUGCCAUAUGUAGGGGAAAUCUACCACAGUGUUUAAUCAUUUACCUUUACAGAUCACAUAUGACCAUUUAAUACACAAUGUCUUAAUUUUGUUUAUGUCUUUAGCUGUAUGCUGUAUUUACGUAAUCUUGUAUGGGAGUACAUGCAGCUGGUGGUUAUUGCAGAAUAAAACUUGACAGGACUCUUUUGACCCUAAAGACAUUAACAACAGGCUGGAUGUACAAUAUCUACUGUAUCUCUUUAGCUAUGUCCUAUUAAUUCACAUGUGACCCUAUAAUACACUUUAAUGUCAUGUGUGUUUGUGUUUAUAGCUACUGUCCUCAUAAUAACGUUUUGUGGCAUAGGCGGGGCUUGCAUGUAAUUAUAAUAUGUCCUCAUAAUUGUGUAUUUUGUCAGGUUGUUAUAUUUUAACUUGUGUUGUGUGUAAAUUAGUUCUGAAGUGAAAUCUGUGUUGUGUGGCUCAAAAUAAUUUUUUUAAUGUUCACCACAACUCUGUAGAGCAAGUGGAAAGGUGUGUCCCCCUAAUGCAGCAAAAAACUGGUUUGGGCUGAAGUGUCCUUGUAAUACAUAUAAACCCGUAUG
This is a long non-coding RNA of Triplophysa rosa, 5589 nucleotides long. RefSeq lists it as uncharacterized. The record is from RefSeq and is a predicted model, not a curated record. The transcript has 5 exons. Lineage: Eukaryota; Metazoa; Chordata; Actinopteri; Cypriniformes; Nemacheilidae.